Molecule: long non-coding RNA, 2366 nt
Filed under: Vulpes vulpes (red fox)
Lineage: Eukaryota; Metazoa; Chordata; Mammalia; Carnivora; Canidae
Description: lncRNA (ENSVVUG00000007955.1)
Source: RNAcentral
GGAGUUGAGUACAAGGAGCACGCAGGUGGGGGCGGGGGGGGGGCUGGAGGAGAGGAAGAGGAAUCCCGGGGGCCAGGCGGCCGCACAGGGCGCCACAGGUGGAGUCGUGGUGCCCUCCAGUGGACACUUCGGGAAUUUAAGCGGUCUCAGAUUCCGAGGUGCGGGUUUGGCCUGCAGCUCCCCUCGUCCAAGACAGGAGGAUUUACCAGGGGGUGGCUCCAGGGGGGAUUGGAAAGCAGGCCCCCAAAGCCCCUGUGCGUGUGUGUGUUGGAGGCUGUGUGUCUUCCCCUAACCUCACCGUGCAGACGUCAGGAAACGGCUCUAGAGGCAAAAUGUGGGAGUAGCUCCUGGCAAGGGUCCAAAGAUUUUAUUUAAAAAUGUGAGAAAAACCAAAGGCUGUGGAGAUAGGAACUUUUCCCCUUUCCUAAAGUAGACCAAGUACGGUGAUUUAAAUAAGAAAAGAAGGCCCAGCCAGUAACUUUCCAACAGAAUUGGCCCCCUGCCUGGGGUGAUUCUGGAUGUCAGUUAAACUGAGAAAUGCUCUGGUUCCACCGAUUCCCUUGGUUCACCCAGAACAGAUGGGGGGGUGGGGGAGCAGAGGUAUCACAGCUACCCUGUAAUAAAGGGAUGUUUUUGGCAGAAUGGGGGGAAUGGAAAGGUUUGGGGAGAAAGCAGAUAAGGGCAGACAAGCUAGAGGCUUCUCCUUAAUGGAGAACGCCUUGUCUUGAUAACUGUGUUUGACUUCUCCUUCUGAGAAGGUACCACAUUCUGUUUUUUGAACCAGAAACUUUUCUUUGGUAUGAUUGGAUUUAGCACUAGUUGGUUAAAAGUUAGUAUUGGGGGAUGGGGAAAAGAUUCUUUUUUGCUUGAAUGGCUUCUCUUAAGUAUGUAAAUAAUGGCCUCAAGGUUGUGUGCUGUGUCAAGAUCGCGAGCAAAAGACCACCAGGAGCACACCAGCAGUUCAUCCGAGGCAGGUUUCCUUGGUUUGCUGCAGCAGGGAGAAAUGUACCACAAAGGAACCUGGGGGCCAUCCCAGGCAGGGAGGGUUCUUAAUUACCCCAAAUGCCACUACCCCAAAAUAAUUAUCUUCAACCAUGGUUGAUCAUCAUUUGAGCAACUUUCUACACAAUAUAUAGAGAAGGUUAGAUGGAAAUCAUUUAAUGACAUACAAUGUAAAAUAAUUUUGUGUUAGAAUUGUGCCAGCAAUCAGCUGCAGGCUGGGUUUUUGGCUCAUAUGUGCUAUUCGGCUGUGAUUUUGGCCUGAACUCUUAGAAAGUUGACUAGCCAAACACUUCAGCAUCAUUUCUGACGUCUUUGAACUUAUGUGUGGUCCACGAUCAUGACUUCCAUCACACCUUAUCAAGGUAACAAUGUUUGCAAAUGUAAGUAAGCCAUGUUAUUUGGGUUUAUUAUUAAUAUCUGAAUAUUUGCUUUCAAAUACAGAUAGCCAUUCCAGAUGCAACUUGGUGAAAAUAGCCUUCUUUGCUUUAGAUGCUGAAAUUCUAUCAGCCAGUUGAAGUACAAAUGUAUAUUUAAUAUUUCAUGAGUAAAUUGCUGUAAUAAUUGAUGAUUUGAAAGCUGCUAAUUGUACACAAGCAAUGACUAAGAACUUUCAAAUAAUUAAAUAUGGAAGUAGAUUAACAGUUAAUGCAAUUUUCAAGAAAAAGUGUGUUAACUGGAUGCCUUUAGGAAGAACUUUGUAUUAUUAUUAUCAUAUUAUUUUUUAAAGAUCCUAUUUAUUUUUAAUGUCUCAAGUUUUUUUUUUAAUUAAUUAAUUUAUUUAUUUAUGAUAGCCACACACAGAGAGAGAGAGAGAGGCAGAGACACAGGCAGAGGGAGAAGCAGGCUCCAGGCACCAGAAGCCUGACGUGGGACUCGAUCCCGGUCUCCAGGAUCGCGCCCUGGGCCAAAGACAGGCGCCAAACCGCUGCGCCACCCAGGGAUCCCUAAUGUCUCAAGUUUUUAUUUAAAAUUCUAGUUAGUUAAAAAAUAGUGUGAUAUUAGUUUCAGGAGUAGAAUUUAGUGAUUCAUCACAUACAACACCCGGGGCUCAUCACAACAAAUGCCCUUCUUAAUACCCAUCACCCAUCUAGCCCAUCUCCUGCCCACCUCUUUUCCCGCGACCCUCAGUUCAUUCUCUAUUGUUAAGAGUCUGUUAUGGAGAAAAAAGUCUGUUUAUUGUAGGGCACCUGGGUGGCUAAGUCAGUUAAGCAUCUGCCUUCAGCUCAGGUCAUGAUCCCAGGGUCCUGGGGUUAGGAUCCUGCUUAGUGCGGAGUCUGUGCCUCCCUCCUCCUCUGCCCUUCCUCCCACUCAUGCUCUCCUCUCUCUCAAAUAAAUUUAAAAAAAUAUUUUAUAAGAAAAGUCUC